GACGAACGCUGGCGGCGUGCUUAACACAUGCAAGUCGAACGGAAAGGCCCUGCUUUUGUGGGGUGCUCGAGUGGCGAACGGGUGAGUAACACGUGAGUAACCUGCCCUUGACUUUGGGAUAACUUCAGGAAACUGGGGCUAAUACCGGAUAGGAGCUCCUGCUGCAUGGUGGGGGUUGGAAAGUUUCGGCGGUUGGGGAUGGACUCGCGGCUUAUCAGCUUGUUGGUGGGGUAGUGGCUUACCAAGGCUUUGACGGGUAGCCGGCCUGAGGGUGACCGGCCACAUUGGGACUGAGAUACGGCCCAGACUCCUACGGGAGGCAGCAGUGGGGAAUAUUGCACAAUGGGCGGAAGCCUGAUGCAGCAACGCCGCGUGCGGGAUAACGGCCUUCGGGUUGUAAACCGCUUUCGCCUGUGACGAAGCGUGAGUGACGGUAAUGGGUAAAGAAGCACCGGCUAACUACGUG
Molecule: ribosomal RNA, 466 nt
Filed under: uncultured bacterium
Lineage: Bacteria
Description: partial 16S ribosomal RNA
Rfam family: Bacterial small subunit ribosomal RNA
Source: RNAcentral